AUUGAACGCUGGCGGAAUGCUUUACACAUGCAAGUCGAACGGCAGCACGGGGGCAACCCUGGUGGCGAGUGGCGAACGGGUGAGUAAUACAUCGGAACGUGCCCAGUCGUGGGGGAUAACUACGCGAAAGCGUAGCUAAUACCGCAUACGAUCUACGGAUGAAAGCGGGGGACCGCAAGACCUCGCGCGAUUGGAGCGGCCGAUGGCAGAUUAGGUAGUUGGUGGGGUAAAGGCUCACCAAGCCGACGAUCUGUAGCUGGUCUGAGAGGACGACCAGCCACACUGGGACUGAGACACGGCCCAGACUCCUACGGGAGGCAGCAGUGGGGAAUUUUGGACAAUGGGCGAAAGCCUGAUCCAGCCAUUCCGCGUGCAGGAUGAAGGCCCUCGGGUUGUAAACUGCUUUUGGACGGAACGAAAAGACCUUCUUCUAUACAGGAGGGUCAUGACGG
RNAcentral lists this ribosomal RNA (452 nucleotides) under uncultured bacterium. RNAcentral describes it as "bacterial SSU rRNA". It matches the Rfam family "Bacterial small subunit ribosomal RNA", at positions 29 to 475 of the family's 1533-position model. The record is from RNAcentral.